AGGGCACAAUAAAUUAUAUUCAAAUGGCAGUCAUGGAGGAAAGUUCCCUUUCCUUCCUCAUCCACCAAGCUGAUCGAUGGGCGCUAAAGCCCCGGGGAAGCAGCAUCUGUUGUAACUCAAGGAUCCCUGCUCGAGCUGAGUAUGAAAUUAACAGACACAGAGCAGUUAGCAGCUCAACAUUUGUUCAAGUCUGGCACAUGCACACAUCAUUAGCAACUAUAUUUGAGGAGCAAGAUCAAGGAGGUGAGGAAGAGGGUGUAUCUGAUUAAAGGGAUAUUCAGGAAAGAGGAAAUUCAGAGCAUUUAGGUAAAGCUUCAUGGCUAAAAUAAAUGAACUGGAGAGCAGAGCAAACAGCCAGGGACAUGGGAUA
RNAcentral lists this long non-coding RNA (370 nucleotides) under Lynx pardinus (Iberian lynx). Lineage: Eukaryota; Metazoa; Chordata; Mammalia; Carnivora; Felidae. The record is from RNAcentral.